Molecule: ribosomal RNA, 442 nt
Filed under: uncultured Prevotella sp.
Lineage: Bacteria; Pseudomonadati; Bacteroidota; Bacteroidia; Bacteroidales; Prevotellaceae
Description: bacterial SSU rRNA
Rfam family: Bacterial small subunit ribosomal RNA
Source: RNAcentral
UGAGGAAUAUUGGUCAAUGGGCGGAAGCCUGAACCAGCCAAGUAGCGUGAGGGAUGACUGCCCUAUGGGUUGUAAACCUCUUUUAUAAGGGAAUAAAAUACGGGACGUGUCCUGUUUUGCAUGUACCUUAUGAAUAAGGACCGGCUAAUUCCGUGCCAGCAGCCGCGGUAAUACGGAGGAUGCGAGCGUUAUCCGGAAUUAUUGGGUUUAAAGGGUGCGUAGGCUGUUUGUUAAGUCAGGGGUGAAAUACCGCAGCUCAACUGUGGAAUUGCCUUUGAUACUAGCAGGCUUGAAUACUGUUGCCGUGGGAGGAAUGAGUAGUGUAGCGGUGAAAUGCAUAGAUAUUACUCAGAACACCGAUUGCGAAGGCAUCUCACGAAGCAGGCAUUGACGCUGAGGCACGAAAGCGUGGGGAUCAAACAGGAUUAGAUACCCUGGUAGU